GGAGUGAAGAAGGCCCUUGGGUUGUAAAGCUCUUUCGUCGGGGAAGAAAAUGACUGUACCCGAAUAAGAAGGUCCGGCUAACUUCGUGCCAGCAGCCGCGGUAAUACGAAGGGACCUAGCGUAGUUCGGAAUUACUGGGCUUAAAGAGUUCGUAGGUGGUUAAAAAAGUUGGUGGUGAAAUCCCAGAGCUUAACUCUGGAACUGCCAUCAAAACUUUUUAGCUAGAGUAUGAUAGAGGAAAGCGGAAUUUCUAGUGUAGAGGUGAAAUUCGUAGAUAUUAGAAAGAAUACCAAUUGCGAAGGCAGCUUUCUGGAUCAUUACUGACACUGAGGAACGAAAGCAUGGGUAGCGAAGAGGAUUAGAUACCCUCGUAGUCCAUGCCGUAAACGAUGUGUGUUAGACGUUGGAAAU
RNAcentral lists this ribosomal RNA (411 nucleotides) under uncultured Pelagibacterales bacterium. RNAcentral describes it as "bacterial SSU rRNA". It matches the Rfam family "Bacterial small subunit ribosomal RNA", at positions 401 to 830 of the family's 1533-position model. The record is from RNAcentral. Lineage: Bacteria; Pseudomonadati; Pseudomonadota; Alphaproteobacteria; Candidatus Pelagibacterales.